GGCUCAUCUGAGUGCAGUACUGUUUACAGCUAAUUGAUCACAACCAGUUAUAGAUUUCUUUGUUCCUUUUCUAGUCCCCUUGCUUCACUUGACUAGGCAAAU
This 102-nucleotide non-coding RNA is filed under the name Otolemur garnettii (small-eared galago). The record is from RNAcentral. Lineage: Eukaryota; Metazoa; Chordata; Mammalia; Primates; Galagidae.